This is a microRNA precursor of Brassica oleracea var. oleracea, 125 nucleotides long. It matches the Rfam family "MIR9563 microRNA precursor family". The record is from Rfam. NCBI's taxonomy places the organism in Eukaryota, Viridiplantae, Streptophyta, Magnoliopsida, Brassicales, Brassicaceae.
GGAAGUUAAAAAACUGUUUCUUAACUUUUAACUAAAAAAGUUAAGAACUGGUUCUUAAAUAAGGACUUUAAGAACCGGUUCUUAGGUUUUUUAGUUAAAAGUUAAGAAACAGUUUCUUAGCUUCC